UACGUAGGGUGCGAGCGUUAAUCGGAAUUACUGGGCGUAAAGCGUGCGCAGGCGGUUCGUUGUGUCUGUGGUGAAAGCCCCGGGCUUAACCUGGGAAUGGCCAUGGAAACUGGCGAGCUGGAGUGUGGCAGAGGGGGGUGGAAUUCCGCGUGUAGCAGUGAAAUGCGUAGAUAUGCGGAGGAACACCAAUGGCGAAGGCAAUCUCCUGGACCUGCACUGACGCUCAUGCACGAAAGCGUGGGGAGCAAACAGG
RNAcentral lists this ribosomal RNA (253 nucleotides) under uncultured bacterium. Its description in RNAcentral is "partial 16S ribosomal RNA". It matches the Rfam family "Bacterial small subunit ribosomal RNA", at positions 524 to 776 of the family's 1533-position model. The record is from RNAcentral.